AAGCAUGGCCCCUUCUUUCUCUCUCUUCUGAUGAAGGCUCUGUUCGCUUCUGCUGUGGUUCAGAGGGAGUCCUUAUGAUGGCCAUGAGAGAGAGAGAUGAGGGAGAGGGAAGGGGAAUGCGUGCGUGCGUGAGAACUUGUGCAGGUAUUUUCUCUGUCAGUGUAGAGAGAGAUAGAGAGAUAGAGAGAAAGAGAGAGGAAGAAGGGGGAGGGGAACAGAAGGUAGUUUUAAGAGGAAAG
This 239-nucleotide long non-coding RNA is filed under the name Ananas comosus (pineapple). RNAcentral describes it as "long non-coding RNA (ACOM_LNC016371)". The record is from RNAcentral. Lineage: Eukaryota; Viridiplantae; Streptophyta; Magnoliopsida; Poales; Bromeliaceae.